GAUGAACGCUGGCGGCGUGCUUAACACAUGCAAGUCGAACGGAAAGGCCAGUGCUUGCACUGGUUCUCGAGUGGCGAACGGGUGAGUAACACGUGGGUGAUCUGCCCUGCACUUCGGGAUAAGCCUGGGAAACUGGGUCUAAUACCGGAUAGGACAAUGGUUUGGAUGCCGUUGUGGAAAGUUUUUUCGGUGUGGGAUGAGCUCGCGGCCUAUCAGCUUGUUGGUGGGGUAAUGGCCUACCAAGGCGUCGACGGGUAGCCGGCCUGAGAGGGUGUACGGCCGCAGUUGGACUGAGAUACGGCCGAGAGUCCUGCGGGAGGCAGAAGGGGAGAAUAUUGCACAAUGGGCGCAUGCCUGUUGCAGCGACGCCGCGUGGGGGUUGACUGACUUCGGGUUGUAAACUCCUUUCGCUAGGGACGAAGCGUGUUUGGAACGGUACCUGGAGAAGAAGCACCGGCUAACUACGUG
This 468-nucleotide ribosomal RNA is filed under the name uncultured bacterium. RNAcentral's name for it is "partial 16S ribosomal RNA". It matches the Rfam family "Bacterial small subunit ribosomal RNA", at positions 28 to 507 of the family's 1533-position model. The record is from RNAcentral.